CUCACUCGGUGGUGAUUUUCAAAUCAUUCAUCCAAAAACACUUUAGAUGAAAAUUUUAGUAACAAACUGCACCAAAAUAAUUCCCAUUUGUUAUUUGUAAAAAACAUUCAAAAAACCAAAAGAUACAUAACAAGAUAAAAUUCAUAUACAGUAUUUAUAAAUUAAUUUAGUUCCGUUCAAAAUAACCAAAAAAGGUCAUUCUGUAAAUAUAUCGAAACUCGUAAUAAUAUAAUAUUAUAUAGCACAUGACAAAAUCUCUAUAAAGGGCAUGGCAUCUGAAAAGAUACGUUUACAUAUAUAGAUUAAGCAAUGCGCAGAAAACAGCUGCGCAGAGACAACGGCGUUGUUGCUGCCAUCUCGAUCAGAUUUCACCGUAGAUAAAUUACAAGAUCGUAAGUGAUAUAUAUAUUUAUAAAACGGCAAAAAUAUUACGGCCGGGUCGGGUAAGUAUUAAUUGAGAGACCCAUAACGGGAAUUGCAAAACUAGCUUCCAUAAGUAACCUCUGCUGAAACGCUUCCACACUUGCCCUCCCGUCGAUCAUGUCUUUUAUUAUCGCUCGGUAAAAUUCUUUGAGCUUCUUAAGCUUCAUCUUGAUCCACCGUAGUUUUAUUCGCCGGAAUAUUCGGAUGAUGAAGAGCUUUCUUCUCGCGUUUUUCUUGCCUCCGAGGCGGACUGUCGGCAGCACUCUCUUUCGCCGGAGAGGAAUGAGUAGUCUUCUGCGGCAACAUGUUUUGCUGCUUCUGGUGACGACGUCGUUGGGAGGAAGAGUUGAAGCCAUGGACAGAUUUGGACAGGAGCGUUUGAGAGAGAGAGAGAGGGGUGAAAUAAAACGCUCAAGUGCUGUGUUGUUCUUGUUCCUAUCCUUUUGCACUUAUAAUAUACUAGUAAUCAAUAAGUGAUGUAAUUAUAGACAGAGGGGAGAUAGGUGGAGAGGAAGGGAUGGGUGGAGAGCAAGUAUACUUCCACUUGUCUUCUGUUUUAUAAUGAUUUCGGGGUCUCUCGCAAGCGCUGGUUUUCCCUGUUUUAUAUUCUAUAGCCUUUUUGGCCCGUGCUACGCGCACAGGUAUUGAUUCUUUGAUUUUUUUAUCAACUUAACCUAUAUUUUCGGGUUAAUUAUCAAGUUGAUCACUGAAGUGGGCUUAAUGUAUCAAGUUGAUCACUGAACUCAAAACGGU
RNAcentral lists this long non-coding RNA (1176 nucleotides) under Daucus carota (carrot). Its description in RNAcentral is "long non-coding RNA (DCAR_LNC004110)". The record is from RNAcentral. Lineage: Eukaryota; Viridiplantae; Streptophyta; Magnoliopsida; Apiales; Apiaceae.